Molecule: long non-coding RNA, 1095 nt
Organism: Lolium rigidum
Lineage: Eukaryota; Viridiplantae; Streptophyta; Magnoliopsida; Poales; Poaceae
Exons: 2
Source: RefSeq, a predicted model, not a curated record
GGCAAAGUAAAGCGGGGCAUUUUAUCAAAUAGCCCCCCCCAUCCCCUUCGUCCUCGCUGGAAAGCUGAGAGAGCACGAGAGCCUCGUGCUGUAGACGUCACACCGCACCACCAACGCACCUCCACCACAUGCUCCCCCUCCUCUUUAUCUUCCUGUGCAAACCCUAGCCCUCCUCUCUUCCUCCCUCAGCGCCGUCAUCUCCUUCCCCACUCCCCGUUCUCUUUUUCUCUGUGAACGAAACCAAGAGGAAACCCCACAGUACCUCCUCCACCCACCAUGGCGCCACCGCUACACACCACCCCUCGCCGUUCUGAGGGCACCGGGAGAUGCGCCUCUUCCUCCUCGUCAACCUGGUUCAAGGAAUCGAGCCGGGGCGCUCUGAAUCAAGCGCAAGGUCGCCGUUUCUCCUCCAUGGCCGCCAUGCUCCGGCGUCGAUUCCGGCCGCCCUCAUCCUCCUCCGGCCAAACCGAGGACAUCUCCGGCUUCCUUGUGUCCUCCCGCAUCCCCUACGCCAAGUUCCCCGUCUCGAUUCGCGUUGAAUCGCCGGAUUGAGUCGCCACUGGAUCUUCCCGCCAUGGCUGCUGCUCUCAAGCUCGUCCCCGCCUCCCACUUCUUCUUAUUCGAGUACACCAGUAAUGCUACAAGAUCUGAUCCGCAGCGCAGUGAUCUCAGGCAGCUAUGCUUCACCUUACGCGGAGGCUUUCCAAAAUCAAAAGCAGCAGUCAGCCCAGAUGGUUUGUUCCUUUGGUCAGCUCGUGGAGAUCCUGAGUUCAAUUCCCACCGCUGCAACUAAGCCCAUCUUUUUGUUCUGCUUCGGCCAGAUCCGGCGCCUGAUGGGCCUUGACCCAGAUCCACCGACCCAGCCUGUCUCCCCGUGCGCCCAGCUCUUAUCCGUCGCCACUUCCAGGCCAGAUCCGGCCCAGAAAUAUCGCAGGUUCAGCCCAGUUCGUCCCAGCCCCUUUUCUGUUUUCUGGAAAAUUGCAGAAUAUGAUAAAAUCUUGCAAAAAUCAUAUCUUCUGAACCGUAAUUCGAAAUCAAAUGUUUUAUAUAUGAAAAUUGUUCAGAAAAAUGUAAGGAACAUGAAUAUGACAUCCA